AUUGAACGCUGGCGGCAUGCCUUACACAUGCAAGUCGAACGGCAGCACGGGAGCAAUCCUGGUGGCGAGUGGCGAACGGGUGAGUAAUAUAUCGGAACGUGCCCAGUCGUGGGGAUAACGUAGCGAAAGCUACGCUAAUACCGCAUACGAUCUACGGAUGAAAGCGGGGGAUCGCAAGACCUCGCGCGAUUGGAGCGGCCGAUAUCAGAUUAGGUAGUUGGUGAGGUAAAGGCUCACCAAGCCGACGAUCUGUAGCUGGUCUGAGAGGACGACCAGCCACACUGGGACUGAGACACGGCCCAGACUCCUACGGGAGGCAGCAGUGGGGAAUUUUGGACAAUGGGCGCAAGCCUGAUCCAGCAAUGCCGCGUGCAGGAUGAAGGCCUUCGGUUGGUAACGUAGCUUUUGUUACGGUAACGGAAACGGUA
RNAcentral lists this ribosomal RNA (428 nucleotides) under uncultured bacterium. RNAcentral describes it as "bacterial SSU rRNA". It matches the Rfam family "Bacterial small subunit ribosomal RNA", at positions 30 to 458 of the family's 1533-position model. The record is from RNAcentral.